This 496-nucleotide ribosomal RNA is filed under the name uncultured bacterium. RNAcentral describes it as "bacterial SSU rRNA". It matches the Rfam family "Bacterial small subunit ribosomal RNA", at positions 802 to 1298 of the family's 1533-position model. The record is from RNAcentral.
GUAAACGAUGUCUACUAGCCGUUGGGGCCUUUGAGGCUUUAGUGGCGCAGCUAACGCGAUAAGUAGACCGCCUGGGGAGUACGGUCGCAAGACUAAAACUCAAAUGAAUUGACGGGGGCCCGCACAAGCGGUGGAGCAUGUGGUUUAAUUCGAUGCAACGCGAAGAACCUUACCUGGCCUUGACAUACUAAGAAUUUAGCAGAGAUGCUUUAGUGCCUUCGGGAACUUAGAUACAGGUGCUGCAUGGCUGUCGUCAGCUCGUGUCGUGAGAUGUUGGGUUAAGUCCCGCAACGAGCGCAACCCUUUUCCUUACUUGCCAGCAUUUCGGAUGGGAACUUUAAGGAUACUGCCAGUGACGAACUGGAGGAAGGCGGGGACGACGUCAAGUCAUCAUGGCCCUUACGGCCAGGGCUACACGCGUGCUACAAUGGUCGGUACAAAGGGUUGCUACACAGCGAUGUGAUGCUAAUCUCAAAAAGCCGAUCGUAGUCCGGAU